Molecule: long non-coding RNA, 1712 nt
Organism: Dreissena polymorpha
Lineage: Eukaryota; Metazoa; Mollusca; Bivalvia; Myida; Dreissenidae
Exons: 3
Source: RefSeq, a predicted model, not a curated record
UUUGUUUACUUAGCAUUUGACAACUCGGAUUUUGCAAAAUGGUUGAAGAAUAAGUUAUUGUUGUAUCUUUUCUUAAUAAAAGCAUUCGAUGAUUACCGUUAUUAGUUUAAGCAUUUAUUGUUGUGUUUCUUUACAAAUGACUUUAUGUUAAACUCAUUCUAUUUUGUGUCGACGUGUACUUAUCGAUGACUUUAAGUGCAGACUGAUUUACCCCACCCGCUAAUGUUGAACUUGUAGUUGUUCUACUUCCAAAUGUUAUGAUUGAACAAUACUUUACCUCGAAAUUGUUGAUUAUAACAUCGUGAUCAUGAAAAAGAAUAUGACAUCAUUAUGUUGUUUGUGUUUGCUAUUUUUAAACAAGUUAUUGUAUUGGUUAGUUAUGUAGAUGCUGAGUAAUGGUACCUUAUGUAUUUAAUAAUUGUAGAAAAAUCAGCUUAAUUGUUUCUAUAUUGUUCUCAUUUGAUUACAAUGUUGUUCGAUCGGUCAUUGUCAGCUCGGAUACUACUUACCUGUACCCCGGGUACUCUUUAAGUAUACUUACAUGUAGAGCUAACCCUGUUACAGUUAAUUAUUAACUUAAUUGUCUUUAAUAUAGCCGGCAAUUUAAUGCUAAAUGGGUUGUUGUAGGCUUAAUUUUUUUAAUUAUGUUCACAUUAAUGUCAUUUUUUUUUCUCAAAUAGUCUUUAUAUCAUCGAAAUUUAUACUCAAAAAGCAUAUUGAUGCAGUUUUUUCAAAAGGUAAGUUUAAUUUAGAUAAACAAUAUGGCUUUACAUUUAUCUGUAGUGCACUGUACCACAUCGAAUUUUGGGCAAUAAUACAACUCGGGUACAGUCUAAUAAGGACCGGGUACGUUUAAGUAUAUUAACCUUACCCGAGGUACAUGCAAGUAUGCUUAAUGAUACCAGGGGUACAUGUAAGUAGUACCCAAGCUGUGAAUAACCAGUCGAGCGUGAGUAAAGUAGAUUGUACCUUAAGUCUUUAAUAAUUGCAGAACAAUUACCUUAUUUAUUUCUAUAUUGUUUCCAUUUGAUUACAAUUUAUUUAUUUGUCAAAUUCAAUUCUGCAGUGCUAUAAAUAUGCACCCCCAUCCCAAAAAUUUAUUUCGUGCAUAUUGAUGGGGCUUUUUUAUUUAUUUACUCCAUUUCUGCAUUCCUCCCUUUUGUGUUGGUAAUGUGAACAUGAAAUGAUGAGCACUUUCAUGUUAAUGAAUAACUUUUAAUUUUUUUUAUAGAUUUUGGCAUAUUGCAUAUUGCCAAGGGAGAUGUUUACUGAGGAUUCCAUGCCAUUAAUAUGCAGGCUGUUGCUGAUGCCAGCAUGAGCAAUAUCUGAGCACCAAUGAUGAGGGUCAUCUGCUGGGAGAUAGUGGGUAUCUGUUAAGGACUAACCUGAUGACCCCUUAACCUCAUCCCUCCCAUGCUGCGGAACAGGCCUACAAUGACCAUCUAUGCAGAGGAUAUCUGCAUGCCACUGGUGGAUGUUGGCCUUUCAAGUCCAAUAAGUGCUGUGAAAUAUCAACUGUGUACAUGCCCCUGCAUAACCUGUGUCUGGAUUCAAACGUUCCACUGAUAGAGGAAUUGGUUGGAAAUGAGAUGGAACCGGAAGUUAUGAACAACACACCAGUACAUCGAGCAGCAUGUGAUAAGAGGCAGCAGCUGAUCAAACUGUUUCAUAAAAUGUGUUAAAAAUUUAUAGUUAUAAAUGUUAUAAAGUGA